Molecule: ribosomal RNA, 237 nt
Filed under: uncultured bacterium
Lineage: Bacteria
Description: partial 16S ribosomal RNA
Rfam family: Bacterial small subunit ribosomal RNA
Source: RNAcentral
CGGCGGACGGGUGAGUAACGCGUGGGUAACCUGCCUCAUACAGGGGGAUAACAGUUGGAAACGGCUGCUAAUACCGCAUAAGCGCACAGUACCGCAUGGUACGGUGUGAAAAACUCCGGUGGUAUGAGAUGGACCCGCGUCUGAUUAGGUGUUGGUGGGGUAACGGCCUACCAAGCCGACGAUCAGUAGCCGACCUGAGAGGGUGACCGGCCACAUUGGGACUGAGACACGGCCCAA